This 253-nucleotide ribosomal RNA is filed under the name uncultured bacterium. Its description in RNAcentral is "partial 16S ribosomal RNA". It matches the Rfam family "Bacterial small subunit ribosomal RNA", at positions 524 to 776 of the family's 1533-position model. The record is from RNAcentral.
UACAGAGGGUGCUAGCGUUGUUCGGAAUUACUAGGCGUAAAGGGCGGGUAGGUGGUUUGAUAAGUCUGUUGUGUAAGCUCCCGGCUUAACUGGGAGAGGUCAACGGAAACUAUCAGACUUGAGUAUAGGAGAGGUUACUGGAAUUCCCGGUGUAGCGGUGAAAUGCGCAGAUAUCGGGAGGAACACCAAUGGCGAAAGCAGGUAACUGGACUAUUACUGACACUCAGCUGCGAAAGCUAGGGGAGCAAACAGG